UACGGGGGGGGCAAGCGUUGUUCGGAAUUACUGGGCGUAAAGGGUCUGUAGGUGGCCAACUAAGUCAGACGUGAAAUCCCUCAGCUUAACUGGGGAACUGCGUCUGAUACUGGAUGGCUUGAGUGUGGGAGAGGAAUGCGGAAUUCCAGGUGUAGCGGUGAAAUGCGUAGAGAUGUGGAGGAACACCAGUGGCGAAGGCGGCUUUCUGGUCUGUAACUGACGCUGAGGCGCGAAAGCGUGGGGAGCAAACAGG
RNAcentral lists this ribosomal RNA (253 nucleotides) under uncultured bacterium. RNAcentral describes it as "partial 16S ribosomal RNA". It matches the Rfam family "Bacterial small subunit ribosomal RNA", at positions 524 to 776 of the family's 1533-position model. The record is from RNAcentral.